This is an RNA transcript of Glycine soja, 5284 nucleotides long. It is a transcript of the gene named paired amphipathic helix protein Sin3-like 4, with no coding region annotated. The record is from RefSeq and is a predicted model, not a curated record. The transcript is spliced from 24 exons. Lineage: Eukaryota; Viridiplantae; Streptophyta; Magnoliopsida; Fabales; Fabaceae.
UCAAAGAGAAAAGAAAAAUAAAAAUAAUAAUCCUCUUUGAAAUUCAAACUUAGAGAGAGAGAAAAAAAAAAAAAGAAACUUCUCUGUGGAAAAAACAUUUGUGUUCGUUCUCUUCAGCACUUCCACGUUGACGCUUUUCUGAAGAAUCACAAAGGCUCGAGAAAAGAAAUAACUUUGUUACACAAAGCAUUUUUCUCUAUCUUUCUUUGAAGUUCAGAGAGACUUGGCGAUCACUCUGAUUUGGCUCCUCCGAGGUGAUCCUCUUCGCGGAGGCAGGGGUUUGGAUUCAAGCUUCGCGUUGAUUCCUCGUGGUUAGAUCUGAACUGUGCUCGCUGCUCUUGCUCGAUUGAGAAGCUUGAGUUUUGAGGAUUUUGAAUUCUUUCGGAGUUUGGAAGCAUGAUUUGUUGUAGAAGAUAGAUAGAGAGAGUGUUUGUUUCUGUGCUUUUGUGGUUUGAGAUGAAGAGGUCCAGAGAUGAAGUUCUCACGAGUUGUUCUCAAUUGAAACGGCCUGUGUUGUCUUCACGAGGAGAAGCGUCUGGGCAACCGCAGAUGAUGAAUGGAGGUGCUCAGAAACUGACAACUAAUGAUGCCCUUGCAUAUCUCAAGGCAGUGAAGGAUAUAUUUCAAGAUAAGAGGGACAAGUAUGAUGACUUUUUGGAGGUUAUGAAAGAUUUCAAGGCUCAAAGAAUUGAUACUGUGGGUGUCAUUGCAAGAGUGAAGGAACUGUUUAAAGGCCACAGAGAUCUUAUAUUGGGAUUUAACACCUUCUUGCCUAAGGGUUACGAAAUCACACUUCCAUCAGAGGAUGAUCAACCUGCCCCAAAGAAACCCGUUGAAUUUGAAGAGGCUAUAAAUUUUGUGAACAAGAUAAAGACUCGUUUUCAAGGUGAUGAUCAUGUGUAUAAAUCAUUUCUUGACAUAUUGAAUAUGUACAGAAAGGAAGACAAAUCUAUUACUGAGGUCUACCAGGAGGUUGCUGCUAUUUUUCAGGACCACCCUGAUCUUCUUGAUGAGUUUACUCAUUUUCUUCCAGACGCUUCUGCAGCUGCCUCUACUCAUUAUGCUUCUGCUCGGAAUUCUAUGCUUCGCGAUAGGAGCUCUGCAAUGCCAACAAUACGACAAUUGCACGUUGAAAAGCGAGAACGGACCAUUGUUUCACAUGGUGAUCAUGACCCCAGUGUUGAUCGUCCUGACCCAGAUCAUGACAGGGGUUUGUUAAGGAUAGAAAAGGAGAGGAGACGUGUGGAGAAGGAAAAGGAACGUAGAGAAGAUAGAGACAAGAGAGAACGUGAAAGGGAUGAUAGAGAUUAUGAGCAUGAUGGGGCUCGAGAUAGGGAGCGAUUCUCUCACAAACGGAAUCGUAAGGCUGAAGACUCUGGAGCUGAACCAUUGCUUGAUGCAGAUGAAAAUUUUGGUGUGCGUCCUAUGUCAUCCACUUGUGAUGAUAAAAAUUCUCUGAAAAGUAUGUACAGUCAAGAGUUUGCUUUCUGUGAAAAGGUCAAAGAAAAAUUACGAAAUCCUGAUGACUACCAGGAAUUUUUGAAGUGCUUGCAUAUCUACAGCAGGGAAAUAAUUACCCGACAUGAGUUGCAGUCAUUGGUGGGUGAUUUACUGGGAAAAUAUCCAGAUCUUAUGGAGGGGUUUAAUGAAUUUUUGCUUCAAUCUGAAAAGAAUGAUGGUGGAUUCCUUGCUGGUGUUAUGAAUAAAAAGUCCUUAUGGAAUGAUGGACAUGGACUGAAACAAAUAAAGGUUGAAGACAAGGAUAGAGAUCAGGAUAGAGAUAGAGACCGUUAUAGGGAUGAUGGGAUGAAAGAAAGGGACCGUGAAUUCCGAGAAAGGGACAAAUCUACUGCGAUUGCCAACAAGGAUGUUUUAGGUUCUAAGAUGUCUCUAUAUCCCAGCAAGGAGAAGUAUUUAUCCAAACCUAUAAAUGAGCUGGACCUUUCUAACUGCGACCAGUGCACUCCUAGUUACCGUCUCUUACCGAAAAAUUACCCAAUACCUGUAGCUAGCCAGAAAACAGAACUUGGUGCUGAGGUGUUGAAUGAUUACUGGGUGUCUGUCACUUCAGGAAGUGAGGAUUAUUCCUUCAAACAUAUGCGCAAAAAUCAGUAUGAAGAGAGUUUGUUUAGAUGUGAAGAUGACAGGUUUGAACUUGACAUGUUGUUAGAGUCUGUAAAUGUGACAACCAAACGAGUAGAAGAGCUGUUAGACAAGAUCAAUAGUAAUAUAAUUAAAGGAGACAGCCCAAUUCGUAUUGAGGAGCACUUAACAGCUAUAAACCUGAGGUGUAUUGAGCGAUUAUAUGGUGACCAUGGGCUUGAUGUGAUGGAAGUGUUAAGGAAGAAUGCACCUCUAGCUUUGCCAGUGAUAUUAACACGCUUGAAGCAGAAACAGGAAGAGUGGGCAAGGUGCCGUGCUGAUUUUAGUAAAGUUUGGGGUGAAAUAUAUGCUAAGAACUAUCACAAAUCUCUUGAUCAUCGUAGCUUCUACUUUAAGCAACAGGAUACUAAAAGCUUGAGCACCAAAGCCUUGCUGGCAGAAAUCAAAGAAAUCAGUGAAAAGAAACGCAAAGAUGAUGUUCUUCUUGCUAUUGCUGCUGGAAAUAGGCGGCCAAUUCUUCCAAACUUGGAGUUUAAGUAUUCUGAUCCAGAUAUUCAUGAAGAUUUAUAUCAGCUCAUAAAAUAUUCCUGUGGAGAAAUUUGCACAACUGAACACGUGGAUAAAGUUAUGAAGGUUUGGACAACAUUUUUAGAACCCAUGCUUUGUAUUCCUUCUCGGCCCCAGUGUGCAGAGGAUACAGAAGAUGUUGUCAAGGUUAAGAAUAAUUGUGUCCUAAAUGACACAGCAACUGUUGCUGAGAGUGACUGUAGCCCUGUUGUGGGUGCUACCAUAAUGAAUCCAAAGCAUAUAAAUGUUUCCAGAAAUGGGGAUGAGUGUAUGCCAUUAGAUCAAUCAACUUCUAGUAAAGCAUGGCAGUCAAAUGGUGAUAGUGGGGUUGAGGAUAGGUAUCUUGAUGACCAUGCAUUGCGUAAAACUGAAACUUUGGGCAGCAAUACACAGCAUGGUAAAAUGAAUAGUAUUGCAUUCACACCUGAUGAACCAUCAGGAUUUAACAAUAAGCAAGACCAGUCCAGCGAACGGUUAGUGAAUGCAAAUGUCUCACCAGCAUCUGGAAUGGAGCAAAGCAAUGGAAGGACAAACAUAGAUAAUUUGUCGGGACUCACUGCCACUCCAACAAGACCUGGUAAUGCUUCUGUUGAGGGAGGACUUGAUAUACCGUCAUCAGAGGGUGGUGAUUCUACAAGACUGGGUACAUCAACAAAUGGGGCCAUCACUGGAGGCACCAAAGUUCACCGAUACCAAGAGGAAUCAGUUCGACCCUUCAAAAAUGAAAGAGAAGAGGGUGAGUUAUCUCCUAAUGGAGACUUUGAAGAAGAUAACUUUGCAUUUUAUGGAGGUAAUGGUUUGGAUGCAGUGCAUAAAGGAAAAGAUGGUGGUGUGAGUCGGCAAUACCAAAAUAGGCACGGGGAAGAAGUUUGUGGUGAAACUAGAGGAGAAAACGAUGCUGAUGCUGAUGAUGAAGGUGAAGAAAGCCAUCACAGGUCAUCAGAGGACAGUGAAAAUGCAUCUGAAAAUGUUGAUGUUUCUGGAAGCGAGUCUGCUGAUGGUGAGGAGUGUUCUCGAGAAGAGCACGAGGAUGGGGAACAUGAUAACAAGGCUGAGAGUGAAGGUGAAGCUGAAGGAAUAGCUGAUGCCCAUGAUGUUGAAGGAGAUGGAAUGUCAUUGCCAUAUUCUGAACGCUUUCUACUAACUGUGAAGCCUCUAGCAAAGCAUGUUCCUCCAAUGUUACAUGAGAAGGACAGGAAUUCACGAGUUUUCUAUGGAAAUGAUUCCUUUUAUGUGUUGCUUAGACUUCAUCAGACAUUGUAUGAGAGGAUACAAUCAGCAAAGAUAAACUCAUCAUCUGCUGAUAGGAAAUGGAAGGCUUCAAGUGAUACAAGCUCCACUGAUCAAUAUGACAGGUUCAUGAAUGCCCUUUACAGUUUGCUGGAUGGUUCUUCUGAUAAUACAAAAUUUGAGGAUGAUUGUCGAGCUAUAAUUGGAAUUCAAUCAUAUGUCUUAUUCACAUUAGACAAGCUGAUAUAUAAACUUGUUAAACAGCUUCAAGCUGUUGCCGCUGAUGAGAUGGAUAAUAAGCUUUUACAACUAUAUGCAUAUGAGAAAUCGAGAAAACCCGGAAAAUUUGUUGACAUCGUUUAUCACGAAAAUGCCCGUGUUCUUCUCCAUGACGAGAACAUAUAUCGUAUUGAAUAUUCACCUGGACCAAUGAAACUGUCUAUUCAACUGAUGGACUCUGGACAUGAUAAACCUGAGGUGACUGCUGUGUCAAUGGACCCUAAUUUUUCAACCUAUCUACACUAUGACUUCCUGUCUGUCGUCUCUGACAAAAAACAGAAGUCAGGAAUUUUCUUGAAGAGGAAUAAACGUAGAUAUGCCAGUAAUGAUGAAUUUUCAAGCCAGGCUAUGGAAGGACUACAAAUUAUUAAUGGUCUGGAGUGUAAGAUAGCUUGCAGUUCAUCUAAGGUCUCAUAUGUUUUAGAUACCGAAGACUUUUUGUUUCGGAUAAGAAGGAAAAGAAGAGCCUUGCGUCUGAAGAGUUCAGGUGCUCACGAACAGGCACAGUCUUCAAACAUUUGUUCAAGCAGAGUACAACGAUUCCGCAAUUUGUUUUCCAUUACAUGAAAGUGUCCAUUUUGAGCUGGGCAUGGUAUGCAAAAUUCUUUAUAUUGAUAAAUAUGUUAUUUGGGCUUGACGUCAUACAGAUGCACAGAACACAUACUCCCAUCGGAGUAACAUUUGUCAAAUGUAAACAUUGGCAGAGGCGCCUGACGAAAACGCCAUCCUAUCCAAGAAGUUGUUGAUCAAGGGAUGUUUUUCUGAAAUUAUUUUUGCACAUUUUCUUUGAGCAACCUAAUAAAUCUUACAGAAUGGGUAGCUGGUGCGGCAUGGAGAGGAGGAGAUUGUUGUAUACUGUAAUUUGAUGGCUAACGAUGGCUCACAAUAAUGUAAAUAAAUAGAGGUAAUUUGUGAUUUAACUAGAGGACUCUUUAUUUCAUUCAUCCAUAUUUUUGUUAUUUAGUUUUUCUUUUCCUCUUUUAACUUUAGCUGCUACAAAUAUUGAGGUUUAUUGAUCAUGGGACAUUCGGUGGCUGCAAUUGGCCCUGCCGUUUCAAAUACAAAGUGUGUAGACUGAGAGUCUGCCCACAUCCUUCGUUCUUCU